AUGGCUCAGGAUGAACGCUGGCGGCGUGCUUAACACAUGCAAGUCGAACGGAGCUUUUUUGAAGGAGACUUCGGUCAACGGAAGCUAAAGCUUAGUGGCGGACGGGUGAGUAGCGCGUGAGUAACCUGCCUUUCAGAGGGGGAUAACAUCCGGAAACGGAUGCUAAUACCGCAUAAAACAGCAGCACCGCAUGAUGCAACUGUCAAAGAUUUUUAUCGCUGAAAGAUGGACUCGCGUCCGAUUAGGUAGUUGGUGAGGUAACGGCCCACCAAGCCGACGAUCGGUAGCCGGACUGAGAGGUUGAACGGCCACAUUGGGACUGAGACACGGCCCAGACUCCUACGGGAGGCAGCAGUGGGGAAUAUUGCACAAUGGGCGCAAGCCUGAAUGCAGCAACGCCGCGUGAGGGAAGACGGUUUUCGGAUUGUAAACCUCUGUUCUUAGUGACGAAGAAGUGACGGUAGCUAAGGAGCAAGCCACGGCUAACUACGUGCCAGCCGCGGC
Molecule: ribosomal RNA, 504 nt
Filed under: uncultured bacterium
Lineage: Bacteria
Description: bacterial SSU rRNA
Rfam family: Bacterial small subunit ribosomal RNA
Source: RNAcentral